UACGGAGGGGGCAAGCGUUGUUCGGAAUUACUGGGCGUAAAGCGCACGUAGGCGGGUCGUUAAGUCAGGGGUGAAAUCCCAGAGCUCAACUCUGGAACUGCCUUUGAUACUGGCGGCCUAGAGUCCGGAAGAGGUUAGUGGAAUUCCCAGUGUAGAGGUGAAAUUCGUAGAUAUUGGGAAGAACACCAGUGGCGAAGGCGGCUAACUGGUCCGGUACUGACGCUGAGGUGCGAAAGCGUGGGGAGCAAACAGG
RNAcentral lists this ribosomal RNA (253 nucleotides) under uncultured bacterium. RNAcentral describes it as "partial 16S ribosomal RNA". It matches the Rfam family "Bacterial small subunit ribosomal RNA", at positions 524 to 776 of the family's 1533-position model. The record is from RNAcentral.